This 1700-nucleotide long non-coding RNA is filed under the name Equus caballus (horse). RNAcentral describes it as "lncRNA (ENSECAG00000052452.1)". The record is from RNAcentral. Lineage: Eukaryota; Metazoa; Chordata; Mammalia; Perissodactyla; Equidae.
GUGGCCUUCAUUUAUUUCCAUAGAAUUUGUAUAAUUAAUAAAAACAAGUGAUUCUUAUCAUCAGGCAAGGCUGGAAAACACCCCUGCUACUCAAACUGUGGUCCCCACGGCAGCAGCAGCACCUGGGAGCUUGUUAGAGAUGGAGAUUCGCAGGCUCCGCCCCAGACCUGCUGAUUCAGAAGCUGCGCCUUAAACAGGAUCCUGGAGGUGACCCUCCAGCACGUUGCAGUGUGAACAGCAUUGACCAGGAGCAUUGAUCCAGGUCAGUGGGUCUCAGCCCUGGGUGCACAUUAGGAUUCUCUGGGGGCUGUUUGAAGUAGCAAAGCCUGUCCUCCAUACUCAGAGCAUCUGCUAUAAUUGGCCCUGGCUGGGGCUCGCGUGUCAGUGGUCUUAAACGCUCUCCAGUUGAUGCUCACAUGCAGCCAGUGUGAAGACCCACUGAGCUAGGACAACGGUUCUCACUUCGGUGUGUGUCACAUCCUCUGGAGAGCUCACCAUGGACACAGAGGGCCCGCUUGCCGAGGAGGAUAGUCCUAGGCUUGGUGAGAAUAACCAAGUUCCCAGGCAGUUGUGAAACUGGCCAAAGCAGGAGCAGCUCUGGUCUCAAGGAACGGCUGUGAGGGGUCCCCGCAGCCUCCCAGGCAGCUCUCCCUUCUCCCUCAUUCUUCUUCUUCCUCAAUGCUGCUUGGCCAGCACCACGGCUCCUAAAGCACAAGGAACGAGAGAUUCUCAGAACUGGAAGGAACAGAGGCAUCUUUGAGCACGAUUGUGAGCUCUCUGCUGUCAGGAACCAGCCCUGUCUCUUUUAUUCUGCACCCCAGCGCCUAGCCCUGACACUGAGUGGGCACUCUUGUGAGUGGACGGAUGGAUGGAUAGUCAUCUGAAUCACAGAGGUGGAAAAUUUCACUUCCCCAACUUCGCCUUGAUCAAACUAUGGAGUUGUGGUUGGUCAACUUUAGAAGGAUUCAUGGAGCUGACCAGCCAGCUAAGGAUAUUCCAGAGAUGCCCUCCGCUAAAAAAAUAAAUGUUGUAGACACAUCUGAAGCCCUGAGAAGUGAGGACCCCCAUCAGAUGCUUGGAGGGAGCCAGAACUGGAGCCUUUCCUCCUCUGUAGUCACCCCAACUGAGAGGAGAGAGUCUAAAAACGGGGCUUUGGGCACCAUAGGGAAUUUUCAGUGUAUGGGAAACAUCUGCUGACUUAGGACUUGGUGUAUGGGUCUUUUUGUGAGCACUUUUUACAUAAUCUUGCAUAAAGAGAACUCUCGAGGCCAAGCCUACCCCAUAGAGUACAUAUUCCCAAGGGGAUAGUCCUGAAGGGACCGCUGUCUGUGCGGCACUGAGGGAAGAUUGCAGUGCAUGUGGGCAUUGUGUCCAAAUGCUUCUCCAAGGACCCACUGCAGGAAGAAACGUUUUUUGCCGCUAAGAAUCCAGGCUCUCAGGGGCAUCAGCCUUGCCCAGACUGUUCUCCCAGCUGUGCCUCCCCUGUAGGCACAGGGAGACUGCAGACAGAGACUUUAUCAAAAAUAAAACCCACUUUGACUACCUCAGCAGACCAUGUCUCAAGAAUGGUUAGUCAGGCAGUUCCCAGCCUGGAAUCAGUCUGGCCACAAAAGCUUCUUCUGUUCCACAUGGUCAUUAGCAGCCCUGAAAUCAACAGAGAGCCCAGGCCAGCCCUAAGAAAUGGGAGAAUAGUCAUAGCC